UACAGAGGUCUCAAGCGUUGUUCGGAUUCAUUGGGCGUAAAGGGUGCGUAGGUGGCGCUGUAAGUCGGGUGUGAAAUUUCGGAGCUUAACUCCGAAACUGCAUUCGAUACUGCGGUGCUUGAGGACUGGAGAGGAGACUGGAAUUCAUGGUGUAGCAGUGAAAUGCGUAGAGAUCAUGAGGAAGACCAGUGGCGAAGGCGGGUCUUUGGACAGUUCCUGACACUGAGGCACGAAGGCCAGGGGAGCAAACGGG
RNAcentral lists this ribosomal RNA (253 nucleotides) under uncultured bacterium. RNAcentral's name for it is "partial 16S ribosomal RNA". It matches the Rfam family "Bacterial small subunit ribosomal RNA", at positions 524 to 776 of the family's 1533-position model. The record is from RNAcentral.